RNAcentral lists this ribosomal RNA (548 nucleotides) under uncultured bacterium. Its description in RNAcentral is "partial 16S ribosomal RNA". It matches the Rfam family "Bacterial small subunit ribosomal RNA", at positions 355 to 920 of the family's 1533-position model. The record is from RNAcentral.
UGGGGAAUCUUGCGCAAUGGGCGAAAGCCUGACGCAGCCAUGCCGCGUGAGUGAUGAAGGCCUUAGGGUUGUAAAACUCUUUCACCGGGGACGAUAAUGACGGUACCCGGAGAAGAAGCCCCGGCUAACUUCGUGCCAGCAGCCGCGGUAAUACGAAGGGGGCUAGCGUUGCUCGGAAUUACUGGGCGUAAAGGGCGCGUAGGCGGAUCAGCAAGUUGGGGGUGAAAGCCCGGGGCUCAACCUCGGAAUUGCCUUCAAAACUGCUGAUCUAGAGUACGGGAGAGGUGUGUGGAACUCCGAGUGUAGAGGUGAAAUUCGUAGAUAUUCGGAAGAACACCAGUGGCGAAGGCGACACACUGGCCCGUUACUGGCGCUGAGGCGCGAAAGCGUGGGGAGCAAACAGGAUUAGAUACCCUGGUAGUCCACGCUGUAAACGAUGAUUGCUAGUUGUCGGCAGGCAUGCCUGUCGGUGACGCAGCUAACGCAUUAAGCAAUCCGCCUGGGGAGUACGGUCGCAAGAUUAAAAACUCAAAUGAAUUGACGGGGUC